CCUGCAGAUCUCUUCCCUUCUGUGGCCAUCGCUGAAACGCUAGCGGCCAAAAUGAAGUUCAAUCCCUUUGUGACUUCUGACCGAAGCAAGAAUCGAAAAAGGCAUUUCAAUGCGCCUUCCCACAUUCGCAGGAAAAUUAUGUCUUCUCCUCUUUCUAAAGAGCUAAGACAGAAGUACAACGUUCGAUCCAUGCCCAUCCGAAAGGAUGAUGAAGUUCAGGUUGUACGAGGGCACUACAAAGGACAGCAAAUUGGCAAAGUAGUCCAGGUUUACAGGAAGAAAUACGUCAUCUAUAUUGAACGAGUGCAGCGGGAGAAGGCUAACGGCACAACUGUCCAUGUGGGCAUUCACCCCAGCAAGGUCUGCUGCUAAGUCACUUCAGUCAUGUCCGACUCUGUGCGACCCCAUAGACGGCAGCCCACCAGGCUCUCCCGUCCCGGGGAUUCUCCAGGUGGUUAUCACCAGACUAAAACUGGACAAAGACCGCAAAAAGAUCCUCGAACGUAAAGCCAAAUCUCGCCAAGUAGGAAAGGAAAAGGGCAAAUAUAAGGAAGAAACAAUUGAGAAGAUGCAAGAAU
RNA transcript from Budorcas taxicolor (takin), 578 nucleotides. It is a transcript of the gene named ribosomal protein L26, with no coding region annotated. NCBI's taxonomy places the organism in Eukaryota, Metazoa, Chordata, Mammalia, Artiodactyla, Bovidae. The record is from RefSeq and is a predicted model, not a curated record. The transcript is spliced from 5 exons.